UGGGGAAUAUUGGGCAAUGGGGGAAACCCUGACCCAGCAACGCCGCGUGAAGGAAGAAGGUCUUCGGAUCGUAAACUUCUAUCCUCGGUGAAGAGGAGAAGACGGUAGCCGAGAAGGAAGCCCCGGCUAACUACGUGCCAGCAGCCGCGGUAAUACGUAGGGGGCAAGCGUUGUCCGGAAUGAUUGGGCGUAAAGGGCGUGUAGGCGGCUAAGUAAGUCUGGAGUGAAAGUCCUGCUUUUAAGGUGGGAAUUGCUUUGGAUACUGCAUAGCUAGAGUGCAGGAGAGGUAAGUGGAAUUCCCAGUGUAGCGGUGAAAUGCGUAGAGAUUGGGAGGAACACCAGUGGCGAAGGCGACUUACUGGACUGUAACUGACGCUGAGGCGCGAAAGUGUGGGGAGCA
Molecule: ribosomal RNA, 400 nt
Filed under: uncultured bacterium
Lineage: Bacteria
Description: bacterial SSU rRNA
Rfam family: Bacterial small subunit ribosomal RNA
Source: RNAcentral